Molecule: transfer RNA, 64 nt
Filed under: Cavia porcellus (domestic guinea pig)
Lineage: Eukaryota; Metazoa; Chordata; Mammalia; Rodentia; Caviidae
Rfam family: tRNA
About the family: Transfer RNA (tRNA) molecules are approximately 80 nucleotides in length. Their secondary structure includes four short double-helical elements and three loops (D, anti-codon, and T loops).
Source: Rfam by way of RNAcentral
GGGGAUUUAGCUCAGUGGCAUAAGUACCUGUCUUGCAAGCAGGCGUCCGUGAGUUCAAUUCCCG